This 315-nucleotide long non-coding RNA is filed under the name Solanum tuberosum (potato). RNAcentral's name for it is "long non-coding RNA (STUB_LNC008753)". The record is from RNAcentral. Lineage: Eukaryota; Viridiplantae; Streptophyta; Magnoliopsida; Solanales; Solanaceae.
GAAAACAGGGAAACUGAAUUUUGACUUUGAACAUGAAAAAUUGUAAUGGUUGCCCGUCAUUUGCAUGACAAUUGGUGAUAAUUCUAAUGAGAAGAUUUACGUAAAUAAGAGUACAAAGAAGAAUUCUGAAAAAUUGUGUUUUUCACUUGUGCAUUUUGACUUUACCUCCUUUUUUGGUAGAUCUCAUUUGAAUCAGUCUGUGCACAAGAAAUACUUGGGUUAUGCUCAUGGCUUGAAGCCAGAUGAAGUGUGGCAAUAGCAUAUGAAUUUGAAUGGUUGAUAUAAAUGUUGCAACAUUAAGUUUUCUUGCAAUAG